This 66-nucleotide transfer RNA is filed under the name Ictidomys tridecemlineatus (thirteen-lined ground squirrel). RNAcentral describes it as "Spermophilus tridecemlineatus (thirteen-lined ground squirrel) tRNA". It matches the Rfam family "tRNA". Rfam says of the family: Transfer RNA (tRNA) molecules are approximately 80 nucleotides in length. Their secondary structure includes four short double-helical elements and three loops (D, anti-codon, and T loops). The record is from Rfam by way of RNAcentral. RNAcentral also lists the same sequence under 1 other name. Lineage: Eukaryota; Metazoa; Chordata; Mammalia; Rodentia; Sciuridae.
GGUAUAACUCAGUUGGUAGAGUGCUUGUCUCCCAUGCACAAGGCCCUGGGUUCAAUCCCCAGCACC